Molecule: long non-coding RNA, 393 nt
Organism: Parasteatoda tepidariorum (common house spider)
Lineage: Eukaryota; Metazoa; Arthropoda; Arachnida; Araneae; Theridiidae
Source: RefSeq, a predicted model, not a curated record
AAGCAUUCUUACUAUAGAUGGUGAGGCUUUAGAUGAAACAGUAGAUCAAGAAUCACAGAAUGGUGUGACCGUAACGCCAUGUCCUCCUACACCAGUGGCAUGAACGGAGGAAACUCCUGCAAAAGCCAGUUUAAAAGCCACCUAUUCCAUGUUCAGAAAGCGAACGAAAAAAUCUGCCCCCUCUGCAGCCCAAAAAGCUGCUUCUUCUAUUGAAGAAAAAUACAGAUUGGAAAUUCAAGUUUUAAAGAGUAAAGAGGAGAGGGACGUGGAAGAACACACGUUAAAGAUGAGGCUGCUGUCUGCGCAGAUCGAGUUUCAGGAGAAUUUAAACAGAAUCUUGUGCACUGAUCCCACCUCUUUAAACAUUUCAUUAAAUAAAUAAGUGUUUUAUUA